UAUAGUAGCGAAGUUCCUGAUUCCACACUGCCAAGAAAAGCCUCUAGCGAGGUGAGAGGUGCCCGUACCGCAAACCGUCACAGGUAGGCGAGGAGAGAAUCCUAAGGUGAUCGAGAGAACUCUCGUUAAGGAACUCGGCAAAAUGACCCCGUAACUUCGGGAGAAGGGGUGCUCUGUUAGGGUGCAAGCCCGAGAGAGCCGCAGUGAAUAGGCCCAGGCGACUGUUUAGCAAAAACACAGGUCUCUGCGAAGCCGUAAGGCGAAGUAUAGGGGCUGACGCCUGCCCGGUGCUGGAAGGUUAAGAGGAGCGCUUAGCGUAAGCGAAGGUGCGAAUUGAAGCCCCAGUAAAC
Molecule: ribosomal RNA, 350 nt
Filed under: Xanthomonas citri pv. citri
Lineage: Bacteria; Pseudomonadati; Pseudomonadota; Gammaproteobacteria; Lysobacterales; Lysobacteraceae
Description: partial 23S ribosomal RNA
Rfam family: Bacterial large subunit ribosomal RNA
Source: RNAcentral